CCCUUAGAUGUUCUGGGCCGCACACGCGCUACACUGAAGGAGGCAGCGUGUACUCCUGGAUCGAAAGAGUUGGGUAACCCGCGAAUCUCCUUCGUGCUAGGGAUUGAGGUUUGCAAUUAUCCUUCAUGAACGAGGAAUUCCCAGUAAGUGCAAGUCAUAAGCUUGCGCUGACUACGUCCCUGCCCUUUGUACACACCGCCCGUCGCUACUACCGAUUGAAUGAUUUAGUGAGGACUUCGGACUGGGACCGAUGCGGCUUUCGGGCUGCGUCGGUAUUCUGGAAAGAUGUCCAAACUGUAUCAUUUAGAGGAAGUAAAAGUCGUAACA
This 327-nucleotide ribosomal RNA is filed under the name uncultured eukaryote. RNAcentral describes it as "partial 18S ribosomal RNA". It matches the Rfam family "Eukaryotic small subunit ribosomal RNA", at positions 1470 to 1796 of the family's 1831-position model. The record is from RNAcentral.